UACGUAGGGUGCAAGCGUUAUUCGGAAUUACUGGGCGUAAAGCGUGCGCAGGCGGUUAUGUAAGUCAGGGGUGAAAUCCCCGGGCUUAACCUGGGAACUGCAUUUGUGACUGCAUCGCUGGAGUGCGGCAGAGGGGGGUGGAAUUCCGCGUGUAGCAGUGAAAUGCGUAGAUAUGCGGAGGAACACCGAUGGCGAAGGCAAUCCCCUGGGCCUGCACUGACGCUCAUGCACGAAAGCGUGGGGAGCAAACAGG
Molecule: ribosomal RNA, 253 nt
Filed under: uncultured bacterium
Lineage: Bacteria
Description: partial 16S ribosomal RNA
Rfam family: Bacterial small subunit ribosomal RNA
Source: RNAcentral